AGUCCCUUCGUAGGUGACCUGCGGAAGGAC
Molecule: ribosomal RNA, 30 nt
Filed under: Cladonia sp. Hur CH050136
Lineage: Eukaryota; Fungi; Ascomycota; Lecanoromycetes; Lecanorales; Cladoniaceae
Description: partial 18S ribosomal RNA
Source: RNAcentral